GACACUACAACAUCUAAACAAUGCCCUGAGCCUUUCCAAGCAUAUUGAAACUAGAUACACACAGAUUUGCAUCUUCAGUACUACCCUUAUUAUCAGGAGCCAACUAAUAAUUGGAGCACUACGAUGCCGAUUUUGCACAACGGCGAGACUGAAAAACUGGAGCAGGUGCUCGAACAAACUAAGGAAAUCCUAUAGAAAUUUGCAAAAUGGUCAUUUCCCCAGCGAGUGCACUACUAUAGGUUCACCCGCUCAAAUAUCACAAGUCCUGCCGCCAACUCACGGGACAGCCGGAACUAGAUUCGCAGGGAGGAGAGAACUUUAUCCCACUUUUGUUCAGGGUUGAGGUCCAGAGUACUGUGAGAUGCUUCCUCCACUACAACUACUAUAACCAAUAUAAAACACUCAAAAAGCAACAACGUGACGAAAACCCAGCGCAUGUACCAACAUGUACGCCUCAACUGUUUCGUUCACCAACCAGCAGAUGGUGGUUGUACCAUUUGACAGAAAUAUACAGUGAACUCGUGCUCUAUUUCGGAUCACUGAAGCUCUGAAUCCAAAUCUCAUGUCCCUCCUUCUCUCUCUAUUGUCUAGAUAUUGAGAAGUAAAACUACGCCUGAAUAGAGAUGAGUGUGCGUGUAUGUAAGCGCCUGCAUCUAUACGUGAACAUCUUUAUAAGUGAAGAAAACUUGACAGGUGGUGGAAUGGAAAUCUGUUAUUGGAUUCUACUACCUUGGGAGAAGGCUUUCUUAUGUGACCCCAAGAAAAUUUCUAUCCCUCUUGAAUCCUGAUGACAGUUCGCCAGAGUAAUUAACCAAUUGUUAUUUUUUUUCAAUCGGGUUCUACUCUUUGCUUUUAGGUAAAAUUUGGUCAAAAAUAAAAUAUUAUUAUUACUGAUUAGAGACUCAUUUUGGAGCCUUUCACGAGAUGCAUAGAACAAAAAGAUAAAUUCUAGAAAUUCUUACAAAAGAAAAAGUACCCGGAUAUCCUAGAAAUUCUCACAAAAGUCUCCGUCCAUCAAUCCGAUAAUCUUUAUUUAUCAGUGACAAUAAUAGUCAUUAGACCUACUAUGUUUUUAAAAAGUUAUUCACACUCUGCCGUUAUAAAAAUAUUAUAAAGUAAUCCCCUAAAUCUAUAUCUAAAUUACACACCUUUGCUACUAUGAAAAUGACCUAAAGUAACCCCUUAAUCUUCACCACUUAUGCCAUUAUAAAACAGAAUCUAAAUUAACAUUCUAAAUUUGCAUAGAAAUUACCCACAUAUCCUAUUAUUAAAAAUAAACCAAAGUAACUCCUA
This 1293-nucleotide long non-coding RNA is filed under the name Setaria viridis. RNAcentral describes it as "long non-coding RNA (SVIR_LNC010236)". Lineage: Eukaryota; Viridiplantae; Streptophyta; Magnoliopsida; Poales; Poaceae. The record is from RNAcentral.